GAUUAACGCUGGCGGCGUGCAUAACACAUGCAAGUCGAACGAUGAAACUUAAAUGAUUUCUUCGGAAUGAACUUAGGUGGAUUAGUGGCGGACGGGUGAGUAACGCGUGAGUAACCUGCCUUACACAAGGGGAUAGCCGUUGGAAACGACGAAUAAUACCCUAUGAAACUAUCACUUCGCAUGAAGCGAUAGUCAAAGUGUUAGCGGUGUAAGAUGGACUUGCGUCUGAUUAGCUAGUUGGUGAGAAAAAAGCCCACCAAGGCAACGAUCAGUAGCCGGCUUGAGAGAGUGUACGGCCACAUUGGGACUGAGGCACGGCCCAGACUCCUACGGGAGGCAGCAGUGGGGAAUUUUGCACAAUGGGGGAAACCCUGAUGCAGCGACGCCGCGUGAUUUAGAAGGCCUUCGGGUUGUAAAAAUCUUUUGUAUAGGAAGAAAAUGACAGUACUAUACGAAUAAGGUCCGGCUAAUUACGUG
RNAcentral lists this ribosomal RNA (477 nucleotides) under uncultured bacterium. RNAcentral describes it as "partial 16S ribosomal RNA". It matches the Rfam family "Bacterial small subunit ribosomal RNA", at positions 28 to 507 of the family's 1533-position model. The record is from RNAcentral.